This 1667-nucleotide long non-coding RNA is filed under the name Marmota monax (woodchuck). The record is from RNAcentral. Lineage: Eukaryota; Metazoa; Chordata; Mammalia; Rodentia; Sciuridae.
CCACCCCUUGGAAGGCGGCGCACACGCCAGGAAGUAACCGUUCCGCGUCCUUCCUGGGUGCCAGGCCCUCGCCAGGAGUCUCCUCAGGACCUCGUCACCACCCUCUGUGUUGCUAGGUAUCAUACUAAGCAUGUUCCCCACAGCUAGAGGCAGCAGAGUGCCCCUGUGCUGAGCCACUUCUGCGCCCACCCUCACCCCCUCUGGGCCCUUUGAGGGCCGUGAUUCGAGGUCAUAAGAGUUUGAAUUAGCUGUUGGUGGCCAUAGGUCUGUUAGACUCUUUUAUUUUUGUUUCACUUCCCGAGGUUGGGCCUGGUCACUCUGCCUGGUACGAGAGUGCCCAGGGUCACAGUGCGGUCGAGCCAGUCGGUUAUGAAGAAAGGCGUGACGUGCCCGAGCAGAUCAGAAGGCGGCUGUUUUGAAGCUUUUUGUUGUUUCCUCUUGUCCCGGGGGCUGUGGCACUGCGCUACUGUCAGGCACCUCUUCGUCACUUGGAAAGGCCCCUUGAGACACCACCCAAGCUCAGCGGCCGUGGCCUCGUCCUGGCCUCCCCGAAGACUUCGAACCCUUAUUCCUUCUUCUAUGGGAGCAGUUGUGGGUCCCCAGGGUCCAUGUGGCUUGGGGACCCGCCCAGCUGGGGACUCAGGGCAGCCGUGACCAUCAGGUGGACUGCUGGGCUAGUCUGGUUCCUCCAGGUGCGUGGGGCGUCCAGUGGAGGGAGCUGUCACCACCCCAAGUGUCUCCACAGCUCGCGGCCCUCGGCAGGCCACAGAGUAGAGCGUGGCAGAAGACCCGAGGGGAUUCUCAUUUCUCCCUGGCUUUGUGUGGAACGUGUUGUUCUCUCUGGCACAGAGGGGCUGGGUUUCUGUCCCCCAGCCCUGGAUCCAGCUGGAGCCCCAGGUCACCUGGGUCCUCACUGCCCCAAUGAGGCUUUGGUCCGGAAGAGAGGUUCCGUGGGUGAGCACAGGGUAGCUCCCGCUGUGGGUAGGUGGAAGAUUCGCCAGCCGAAGGGAUGGCGCCUCUGGGCAGCGCUGUUCUCCAGGGUGUCGGUGCUCUGCCUGUGAACUGGCCGGUAGCCGGGGUGACUCCUCUCCGGGGCUCCCUUCCUCAUCUGGAAGUCGGGGACGGGACCCGAGGCUCCCUUGUGGGGGUCUUCUGUCCUUGGCAUUUGGCCAUCCUGUGACAAUUGCUGCUCAUAACCAGAUCAGUGAAGGCCGGUUCCCGGGUCCCUGACCACACGCAGGCCAGCAGUCCGGCAGAGGUGGCUGUGUGUGUGAGUGACACAGGCACAGGUGUGGUCUCUCAUGCAGCCUUUGGCCUCUGUGGACCUGUCAUUGCCCCGCCCCACCCGCACCCUGGCUUCUCCUGUCUGAAGGACAGGCCCAGUUCUCUCUGGAGCCUUGAGGCUGAGCCCCUGGGGCAGGGCCUGCAGUGGAGGGGAGGGGAAAAGAAGCCCCUACCCGCCAGCCUGUGGGGGGACACAGCCUUCCGGUGUCGUCACGCUCCAUCCCUGCUGCUUCCCAGGCAGCCGCUGCCCCUCAGUCCCUGGCCCAGCUCCAGGCUAGCACCAGCCGUGCUCACUGGCUUGGGAGCCGUCCCCUGCCUCUGUCUGGCUGCCCUCUGCCCCCAUUUGGCAUUGCGCUUAUCUAAGGGCUCAUUUGGGAGUUGAU